This 28-nucleotide non-coding RNA is filed under the name Bombyx mori (domestic silkworm). Lineage: Eukaryota; Metazoa; Arthropoda; Insecta; Lepidoptera; Bombycidae. The record is from RNAcentral.
AAGAUGGUGAACACGCCUCAGAGGACGC